CUUGGUCAUUUAGAGGAAGUAAAAGUCGUAACAAGGUCUCCGUAGGUGAACCUGCGGAGGGAUCAUUACCGAAAGGCGCCUCUGGGCGCCGUGUCGGCUCAAACCGGUGGAAGCGACCCGUGCUUCGGCGCUCCGGCGCCGCCUCGACGCGUGAAUGGGUCUUGAAGUCUGAAUUACAUUUGAAUCAAAACUUUCAACAAAGGAUCUCUUGGCUCUCGCAUCGAUGAAGAACGUAGUGAAGCGCGAAAUGUAGUGUGAAUCGCAGGACAUUGUGAAUCAUCGAAUCUUUGAACGCACAUUGCGCCUCCCUCAGAGGGGAGGCAUGCCUGUCUGAGCGUCAUUCGAACCCAUGGGUCUCCCUCCUUGGGGGCCCGUGUUGGGCGUCGCGCGUCGCGCGUCGCCUCGAACGGAUCGGUCGAGAGGGCGGACGAGAUCCAGUAGGACCCGAGCCGUCCCGAGACCCUAAAAGUCUGAAUUGACCUCAGAUCAGGUAGGGACACCGCCUGAACUUAAGCAUAUCAAUAAGCGGAGGA
Molecule: ribosomal RNA, 533 nt
Filed under: uncultured Basidiomycota
Lineage: Eukaryota; Fungi; Basidiomycota
Description: eukaryotic LSU rRNA
Rfam family: 5.8S ribosomal RNA (bases 189-340)
Source: RNAcentral